This 625-nucleotide ribosomal RNA is filed under the name uncultured bacterium. Its description in RNAcentral is "bacterial SSU rRNA". It matches the Rfam family "Bacterial small subunit ribosomal RNA", at positions 50 to 665 of the family's 1533-position model. The record is from RNAcentral.
UACACAUGCAAGUCGAGGGGCAGCAUCAUCAAAGCUUGCUUUGAUGGAUGGCGACCGGCGCACGGGUGAGUAACACGUAUCCAACCUGCCGACAACACUGGGAUAGCCUUUCGAAAGAAAGAUUAAUACCGGAUGGCAUAGUUUUCCCGCAUGGGAUGAUUAUUAAAGAAUUUCGGUUGUCGAUGGGGAUGCGUUCCAUUAGGCAGUUGGCGGGGUAACGGCCCACCAAACCAACGAUGGAUAGGGGUUCUGAGAGGAAGGUCCCCCACAUUGGAACUGAGACACGGUCCAAACUCCUACGGGAGGCAGCAGUGAGGAAUAUUGGUCAAUGGACGAGAGUCUGAACCAGCCAAGUAGCGUGAAGGAUGACUGCCCUAUGGGUUGUAAACUUCUUUUAUACGGGAAUAAAGUUAGCCACGUGUGGCUUUUUGUAUGUACCGUAUGAAUAAGGAUCGGCUAACUCCGUGCCAGCAGCCGCGGUAAUACGGAGGAUCCGAGCGUUAUCCGGAUUUAUUGGGUUUAAAGGGAGCGUAGGCGGGUUGUUAAGUCAGUUGUGAAAGUUUGCGGCUCAACCGUAAAAUUGCAGUUGAUACUGGCGACCUUGAGUGCAACAGAGGUAGGCGGA